Molecule: ribosomal RNA, 253 nt
Filed under: uncultured bacterium
Lineage: Bacteria
Description: partial 16S ribosomal RNA
Rfam family: Bacterial small subunit ribosomal RNA
Source: RNAcentral
UACGAAGGGGGCGAGCGUUGUUCGGAUUUACUGGGCGUAAAGGGCGCGUAGGCGGCCCUCCUAGUCGCGUGUGAAAGCCCCGGGCUCAACCUGGGAAUUGCAUUCGAGACUGCAUGGCUAGGAUGCGGAAGAGGGAAGCGGAAUUUCCGGUGUAGCGGUGAAAUGCGUAGAUAUCGGAAGGAACACCAGUGGCGAAAGCGGCUUCCUGGUCCAGCAUCGACGUUCAGGCACGAAAGCGUGGGGAGCAAACAGG